Molecule: non-coding RNA, 73 nt
Organism: Argiope bruennichi
Lineage: Eukaryota; Metazoa; Arthropoda; Arachnida; Araneae; Araneidae
Source: the annotation of a RefSeq genome assembly
GCCUCGGUAGCGCAGUAGGCAGCGUGUCAGUCUCACAAUCUGGAGAUCGUGAGUUCGAUCCUCACCCGGGGCA